Molecule: ribosomal RNA, 354 nt
Filed under: uncultured bacterium
Lineage: Bacteria
Description: bacterial SSU rRNA
Rfam family: Bacterial small subunit ribosomal RNA
Source: RNAcentral
AGAGUUUGAUCCUGGCUCAGGAUGAACGCUAGCUACAGGCUUAACACAUGCAAGUCGAGGGGAAACGACAUCGAAAGCUUGCUUUUGAUGGGCGUCGACCGGCGCACGGGUGAGUAACGCGUAUCCAACCUGCCCACCACUUGGGGAUAACCUUGCGAAAGUAAGACUAAUACCCAAUGACGUCUCUAGAAGACAUCUGAAAGAGAUUAAAGAUUUAUCGGUGAUGGAUGGGGAUGCGUCUGAUUAGCUUGUUGGCGGGGUAACGGCCACCGAAGGCGACGAUCGAGUAGGGGUUCUGAGAGGAAGGUCCCCCANAUUGGAACUGAGACACGGUCCAAACGUCCUACGGGAGCA